AUAUAUAUAUAUAUAUAUAUACACAUCAUGCAGUCAGUUAGCUCCCGUGUAAUUAAAGCAUAUCUACAUAUAGCUCUAUAUAUAUAUAUAUAUACACAUCAUGCAGUCAGUUAGCUCCUGUGUAAUUAAAGCAUAUAUUUAUAGCUAUAUCUAUAUAUACAUCAUGCAGUCAGUUAGCUCCUGUGUAAUUAAAGCAUAUCUACAUAUAGCUAUAUAUAUAUAUAUAUACACAUCAUGCAGUCAGCUCCCGUGUAAUUAAAGCAUAUCUACAUAUAGCUAUAUAUAUAUAUAUAUACACAUCAUGCAGUCAGUUAGCUCCCGUGUAAUUAAAGCAUAUCUACAUAUAGCUAUAUAUAUAUAUAUAUAUAUACACAUCAUGCAGUCAGUUAGCUCCUGUGUAAUUAAAGCAUAUCUACAUAUUUAUAGCUAUAUCUAUAUAUACAUCAUGCAGUCAGUUAGCUCCUGUGUAAUUAAAGCAUAUAUUUAUAGCUAUAUCUAUAUAUACAUCAUGCAGUCAGUUAGCUCCUGUGUAAUAAAAAAAGCAGUUGGAAUAGUCUAUCAUAUACUUCUCUGGCUUCUUACACACUGUGCUGUCAGUGGGAUUUUACAAAUAUUAAAGGAAGAAAGCACUAAAUUGUAGAAAUAAUGUAAUAUAUUGCUCAGAUGCUUAUGUUUAAUAAGGCAUUUACUAUCAGCCAGCAUAGCUAACCUGCCUCUGUAUCCCAUAAUUAAAUUAGAAAACAAUACCUGUAGAUGAAUAGCAAGUUGCAAAAAAUGAAAAAUAGUUUUAAAUGAACUAAAAACGCACUCUCUUAAACUAAAAGAAACUCACUUUCUUUCAUACAGUUAGAAGAGUUUUUCCAUGUCAGUAGCCGUAAAACUGUCCUAUUGAGACCAUUCCCAGUCUGGGCUACUCCUCUGGGGCCUUCCAGGUCUAUAAGAGGGGGCUGGAUGUGGGAGGGUUUUUUUUAGUAUUCAGCCCACCAAGAGAAAUAACGGACAGGCUUAUAUUGACAUUGAGGUCACCCAUGUCCAUCCCCUUCUAACUGCUUUAGCAGCGCCUAUAGAAUUUAUAGGUGGUAGCUACCUGUCACAAGCUGUAGCCAUGUAUGUGACUGUAUCUUUAAUAAAGUGCCAUUAGUUGGAAACAAAAUGCGUCAGGUUUCUGGCCCACCUGAGGGUUAAGGAUUUGUUACGUUGUUAAAAUAACCAUUUUUUUACCAUUUGGCUUCAGUUUUUGGGCCACCAGUGGCCAGGUAGUUACUAUAAUUCCCGAGGCACUGAGAGGUUUUACCUCAUUUUAGUACUAAAAGUGUAAUUAACUGUGUGGUACAAAGCGGCUGCUCUUGCGCUAAGUGACGGUAAUGUUUAUUACAUCAGAUCGCAUAAAUACAAUCCUUAACUAGGUGACUCUUUACACGGUCAUUUUAUAUCAAAAAUACUUACUUUGUAAUCCCCCGUUAGAAUCAGCCCUGCCUGCCUCCUUGUUUUCCGCUAUACUGGUGAUACAGCCAAUAGGAAGCAUGCAAGUGUUUCAGUAGCAGCGCGCUCUCGCUGCAUGUAACUAAUGGUUUAGGUAAAAAUGUAUCAUUGGGAACUAAUUAACCCUUUAACUCUACAUUUAACCCCUUUAUCAAGUAGUUACUCACUGCCAUUUCUCGGAUAAUCAUAAGAACAUUUUACUACAUUAUUUUGUCUCACCGUUAUGCAAUAGCACAGCACAUUUAUAUUUAUUGUUAUCCCGAUAGCUGAUUGGCUGCUCCAUGGCACUGAAAAGCAUUUAGUAUUUACAUCUGAUCGGGUGCUGUUGGAAUAUAUAUAUAUAUACACGUGUACACAUGAUUUACAUCUGAUGAUCGGGUGCUGUUGUAAUAUAUAUAUAUAUAUACAUAUAUAUAUAUAUAUACACGUGUACACAUGAUUUACAUCUGAUGAUCGGGUGCUGUUGUAAUAUAUAUAUAUAUACGUGUACACAUAAUUUACAUCUGAUCGGGUGCUGUUGGAAUAUAUAUAUAUAUACACGUGUACACAUGAUUUACAUCUGAUGAUCGGGUGCUGUUGUAAUAUAUAUAUAUAUAUAUAUAUAUAUAUAUACACGUGUACACAUGAUUUACAUCUGAUGAUCGGGUGCUGUUGUAAUAUAUAUAUAUAUACACGUGUACACAUAAUUUACAUCUGAUCGGGUGCUGUUGGAAUAUAUAUAUAUAUACACGUGUACACAUGAUUUACAUCUGAUGAUCGGGUGCUGUUGUAAUAUAUAUAUAUAUACACGUGUACACAUAAUUUACAUCUGAUCGGGUGCUGUUGGAAUAUAUAUAUAUAUAUAUACACGUGUACACAUGAUUUACAUCUGAUCAGGUGCUGUUGGAAUAUAUAUAUAUAUAUACACGUGUACACAUGAUUUACAUCUGAUCAGGUGCUGUUGGAAUAUAUAUAUAUAUAUACACGUGUACACAUGAUUUACAUCUGAUCAGGUGCUGUUGGAAUAUAUAUAUAUAUAUAUACACGUGUACACAUGAUUUACAUCUGAUCAGGUGCUGUUGGAAUAUAUAUAUAUAUGUGUACACAUAAUUUACAUCUGAUCGGGUGCUGUUGGAAUAUAUAUAUAUAUAUAUAUGUGUACACAUAAUUUACAUCUGAUCAGGUGCUGUUGGAAUAUAUAUAUAUAUAUAUAUGUGUACACAUAAUUUACAUCUGAUCGGGUGCUGUUGGAAUAUAUAUAUAUAUAUAUACGUGUACACAUAAUUUACAUCUGAUCGGGUGCUGUUGGAAUAUAUAUAUAUAUAUACACGUGUACACAUGAUUUACAAAUGAAAUUGCUUGUGUUAUUGUUUAGAUAUUCGUAUAUACACACAAUGCUGCAUACAGUGUAUAUAGAUGCAUAGAAUACAUGAUGUCAUCUAUAAGUUCUCGCGCUCAGAUAUAUUAUUUGUUCCUAUGAACUGUUAGACCAGAAAACGGCUGCAUUCCAAAGCUUUCAAUCUGGACCAACGAGUUUUGCUCUUUCUAUUUUUAUGCUUAUUUUUCUAUUCUGUACGUUUAUUUUUAAUAAAGACAAAUUACACAACCGA
Long non-coding RNA from Bombina bombina (fire-bellied toad), 3071 nucleotides. RefSeq lists it as uncharacterized. The record is from RefSeq and is a predicted model, not a curated record. The transcript is spliced from 2 exons. Lineage: Eukaryota; Metazoa; Chordata; Amphibia; Anura; Bombinatoridae.